UUUUGUGAGUAAUUUUUACUUUGUGCAACACAAGCUAUCUAUCCUCUUGUGUUUUCUCUGCCCAACCCUAGGGAUCAAGCCUUUCUCCAAAGAGCCUUGGUUGCUUUUACUGCAGAAGGGUACUUAAUGGUACUUAAAACUACGAUCUGGGCACUAAGUUCAUUGCUGUUGGGAGUAUUAUUUCUUCCAGACCUUCUCAGCAGACAAAGCUAGAAAAUAUAGACAAUAGCUCUGUAGCCCAGGCUGAAGUGCAGUGUGGCAAGAUCUCAGCUCACUACAACCUCUGCCAGCCACCCGCAUUCAAACGGUUCUCCUGCCUCAGCCUCUGGAGUAGCUGGAAUUACAGAAAAAGAAUCAUUAGUUUCAUCAGAUUCUCCAAAGAGUUGAUGCUUCCCAGAAACAUAAAAAGAAUUAAACAGAGAAAAGCAAAACACAGAGGCAUGUCCCUACUACACAGUCCCGAUGAUCACCCUCUGCCAUAUUUGCUUCAGCUGUUUCACCCGUUUAACUUUUCAAUGACAGAAAAUAAACAUUGCAAAUCAGGUGGAAGGUCCUGUGCAGCCUAUCCUUUUCCA
Callithrix jacchus (white-tufted-ear marmoset) is the source of this 575-nucleotide long non-coding RNA. RefSeq lists it as uncharacterized. NCBI's taxonomy places the organism in Eukaryota, Metazoa, Chordata, Mammalia, Primates, Cebidae. The record is from RefSeq and is a predicted model, not a curated record.